CCAGACUCCUACGGGAGGCAGCAGUGGGGAAUAUUGCACAAUGGGCGAAAGCCUGACGGAGCAACGCCGCGUGAUCGAAUGAAGGCCUUCGGGUUGUAAAGAUCUGUUGACAGGGACGAAUAAGCAAUGCGAAUAGUUUUGUGUAUGACGGUACCUGUUUAGAAAGCUCCGGCUAACUACGUGCCAGCAGCCGCGGUAAUACGUAGGGAGCAAGCGUUGUCCGGAAUUACUGGGCGUAAAGGGCGCGUAGGUGGGCGCUUAAGUCAGGUGUGAAAACUCCGGGCUCAACCUGGAGACUGCACUUGAAACUGGGUGUCUUGAGGGCAGGAGAGGAAAGUGGAAUUCCUAGUGUAGCGGUGAAAUGCGUAGAUAUUAGGAGGAACACCAGUGGCGAAGGCGGAUCGCUGGACAGUAACUGACGCUGAGGCGCGAAAGCGUGGGGAGCAAACAGGAUUAGAUACCCGAGUAAG
RNAcentral lists this ribosomal RNA (470 nucleotides) under uncultured bacterium. Its description in RNAcentral is "bacterial SSU rRNA". It matches the Rfam family "Bacterial small subunit ribosomal RNA", at positions 331 to 793 of the family's 1533-position model. The record is from RNAcentral.